UGGGUAUGGGUGCGUGUGUGUGUGUGUGUGUGUGUGUGUGCGCGUGUGCGCACACAUGCACACAUGCACACAUGCAUGACUCUG
This 84-nucleotide microRNA precursor is filed under the name Notamacropus eugenii (tammar wallaby). RNAcentral's name for it is "miRNA (ENSMEUG00000017687.1)". The record is from RNAcentral. Lineage: Eukaryota; Metazoa; Chordata; Mammalia; Diprotodontia; Macropodidae.